AUACGUAGGGUGCGAGCGUUGUCCGGAAUUACUGGGCGUAAAGAGCUCGUAGGUGGUUUGUCGCGUCGUCUGUGAAAUUCCGGGGCUUAACUCCGGGCGUGCAGGCGAUACGGGCAUAACUUGAGUACUGUAGGGGAGACUGGAAUUCCUGGUGUAGCGGUGAAAUGCGCAGAUAUCAGGAGGAACACCGGUGGCGAAGGCGGGUCUCUGGGCAGUAACUGACGCUGAGGAGCGAAAGCAGGGGUAGCGAACAGGAUUAGAUUCCCUGGUAGUCCAUGCCGUAAGCGGUGGGCGCUAGGUGUAGGGGCCCUCCACGACUUCUGUGCCGUAGCUAACGCAUUAAGCGCCCCGCCUGGGGAGUACGGCCGCAAGGCUAAAACUCAAAUGAAUUGACGGGG
RNAcentral lists this ribosomal RNA (398 nucleotides) under uncultured bacterium. RNAcentral's name for it is "partial 16S ribosomal RNA". It matches the Rfam family "Bacterial small subunit ribosomal RNA", at positions 523 to 918 of the family's 1533-position model. The record is from RNAcentral.